GCCCCUCCUCCCCCCCCCCGGCGGCGCCGCCCCCAAAUCGACCCCAAACUUCAGAUCCCAGCUGAGGAUUUCCGGGCUCAGCUGCACCCCACAGCGCACUGCGGCCCCAUGAUCGUCCCGGAGCUGCACCCCGAAUGGCGCCGGACCCCAAUGGAGCUUUUCAGGACCCCCACAGCGGGAUGGCUGCCCCCCGAGAUUUGGGAUCUGUGGGUCCGAGCCGCCCGCCCCACAGCGCCGGAACCCAGCGAGGUGGAGGAACCCAGAGAAAUCCCGGAACCGAGUGUGGGGCUGCCACCCUCCUCAGAGCCCCGCCCCCUCUGCCCGAACUUCCGGAAGAGGCGGGACUUCCGCCGGUGGGCGUGGCUUCGUUGCGGCGGGUGGCGCUGGAGGGGGCGGGGAGACCGGAAGGGGCGGAGCUUAGCGGGCUGCUCCCGAGAUCCGCCCCCCGGAAGUUGUGGGCGCGGCUCUUCCGGGUUUGUCUGGAUCUCUGCGCCGCCGGUUGGCUGCGGCUGGAGCAAGCCCGCCCCUACGGACCAAUCGGCAUCCGGCUUGGCCCGCGAGGCCCCGCCCACCCCUCGCCAAGCCCCGCCCACGCGGAAUAAAACCAAAGGGGGGCGUGGCCUCGGCCUCCAUCCUUUUAUUGGCGCCCGAUGCUGCAGAGGGCGUUGCUGCGCACUUCCGGGUCCGGGUCGUGGGCGGAGCUUCGAGCGAGGGCCGGGCCAAUCAGAGGGAGGAGCUCCUUGGCCAUGCCCACGUCCAGCUCCGCCGCCGCCUCCACCUGAUUGGACGAGAGCGCACCGUGGGGGCGGGGCUAAGCCUGCAGGCCACGCCCCCCCCGUUUCUGAAGCUCCGCCCACCUCCUCAUCGUCAGCUUCGGCCUCGUCGUCCUGCAGGCAGCGGAUCUGGGGGAAAAUGGGGGAAAACGGCCCCAAAAUGGAGUGGAUUCAACCCGAAAUGCAUCCAGCUGGCCACAAAACCCGGCAAAACGGCCCCAAAAUCCCCGAAAACGGCCACGAAAUCCCUCGAAACGGCCCCAAAAUCCGUCGGUGGCCUCAAAAGCCCUCAGAACGGCCCCGAAAUCCAUUAAACUGGCCCCAAAACUCAGCGAAAUGACCCCGAAAUACAUGAAAAUGACCUCCAAGUCCUUCAAAAUGGCCCCAAAACCCGUAAAAAGGACCCCAAAAUCCAUCAAAAUGGCCCCAAAAUAAGAUGGCCUCAAAAUCCAUCAAAAUGACCCCAAAAUCCAUUAAAUGGCCCCAAAAUCCAUAAACUGACCCCAGAAUCCAUAAAUUGGCCCUAAAAUCCAUUAAAAUGACCCCGAAAAUCCUCAAGAAGAACCAAAAAUCCAUAAAAAUGACACGAAAAUCCAUUAAAAUGACCCCAAAAUCCAUAAAAUGACCCCAAAACCCAACAAAAUGGCCCCAAAAUCCAUCAAAGUGACCCAAAAUCCAUUAAAAUGGCCCCAAAAUCCAUCAAAAAGUGAUCCAAAAUCCAUAAAACGAUCCCCAAAUCCAUAAAAGUGAUCCCAAAAUCUAUCAGAACAACCCCAAAAUCCACCAAAUGACCCCAAAAUCCAUUAAAUGACCCAAAAUCCAUUAAAAUCCCCCCAAAGCCCAUCAAAAUGGCCCCAAAAUCCACCAAAAUGACCCCAAAAUCCAACAAAACGACCCCAAAAUCCAACAAAAUGGCCCCAAAAUCCACCAAAAUGACCCCAAAAUCCAACAAAACGGCCCCAAAAUCCACCAAAAUGACCCCAAAAUGAAAACCAAGAUGGCCGCCACCCCUCCUUCAAACCCCGCCCCCUCUUAGCCCCGCCCCUUCCUAAGCCCCUCCCACUCCCGGAAGUACCUCUUAGCUAAGCCACGCCCCCCUAGUUUAAAACCCAAUCGCUGCAAGCCGCGCCUACAUAAGCCACGCCCAACCCGAAGCCACGCCCCCUCCCGGAAGUCCACACCGCCCAAGCCACGCCCCCAUCUUAAGCCCCACCCACUCCCGGAAGUCCCUUCGCUCUAA
Long non-coding RNA from Phasianus colchicus (ring-necked pheasant), 2013 nucleotides. NCBI's taxonomy places the organism in Eukaryota, Metazoa, Chordata, Aves, Galliformes, Phasianidae. The record is from Ensembl.